AUGCCUCGUCAUCUAAUUAGUGACGCGCAUGAAUGGAUUAACGAGAUUCCUACUGUCCCUAUCUACUAUCUAGCGAAACCACAGCCAAGGGAACGGGCUUGGAAUAAUUAGCGGGGAAAGAAGACCCUGUUGAGCUUGACUCUAGUCUGGCAGUGUAAGGAGACAUAAGAGGUGUAGCAUAAGUGGGAGAUAUUAUUACUUCGGUUUUUUUAUCAACAAUGAAAUACCACUACUCUUAUUGUUUCCUUACUUACUUGAUAAAAUGGAACGUGUAUCAUUUACUUAGCCAUUACACGGAUGUAUUUAUAUAUUUUAUGGUAUUUUGUUUUGAUGCGAGCUUCUCGCUUAAAGUGCCAAGGGUUUGUUAUAUACGCCAAACAGGUUACAAGGAAAUUAAAAAAUAUCACUUUAAAAUUGGUCUGAUUAAUAAUAUUUGAAUUUGGUAUAACUUUUAUACUCAGGCAUGAUCCAAUUCAAGGACAUUGCCAGGUGGGGAGUUUGACUGGGGCGGUACAUCUCUCAAAUAAUAACGGAGGUGUCCCAAGGCCAGCUCAGUGCGGACAGAAACCACACAUAGAGCAAAAGGGCAAAUGCUGACUUGAUCUCGGUGUUCAGUACAUACAGAGACAGCAAAAGCUCGGCCUAUCGAUCCUUUUGGUUUA
This 662-nucleotide ribosomal RNA is filed under the name Tabanus sp. BDL-2013. Its description in RNAcentral is "eukaryotic LSU rRNA". It matches the Rfam family "Eukaryotic large subunit ribosomal RNA", at positions 2287 to 2784 of the family's 3401-position model. Lineage: Eukaryota; Metazoa; Arthropoda; Insecta; Diptera; Tabanidae. The record is from RNAcentral.